GCCGUCAGACAGCGUUACAGCACGCACUGAGAUGAGAAGGUCGUUGUUCCGGGCAGCUCCGUGAGAAGACGUCAUCCUGGGCGGCUGGGUCUGUUUUGGCCGGUGUGGACUGAUGUUUCAUGGGUGUGCUUCGGCACUGCCAAGACGCUGUCGGCUCAGUGGUUACCCCCGGAGGCCGAGCUGAGUACUGCAGGGUGCGUUCCUAAACGUGCUGGCAUGUUGGGGAAAUGUGUCGGCUAAUACUCACUAAGACUGCGGACACACUGGGAAAUUCUGGAGGGUUACUGCUGCUAGGUGUGUGUGGUGUCUGUGACCAGCAGAGGGAGCCGCUGAGCCGCCAGUGUUCAGCUCUGCAGACUGGAGUAAAGACGGUCCCUAAGCACUCGUCCCACUGUCGUAG
Perca fluviatilis (European perch) is the source of this 400-nucleotide long non-coding RNA. RefSeq lists it as uncharacterized. The record is from RefSeq and is a predicted model, not a curated record. Lineage: Eukaryota; Metazoa; Chordata; Actinopteri; Perciformes; Percidae. The transcript is spliced from 5 exons.